Molecule: non-coding RNA, 241 nt
Organism: Pelobates cultripes (western spadefoot toad)
Lineage: Eukaryota; Metazoa; Chordata; Amphibia; Anura; Pelobatidae
Source: the annotation of a GenBank genome assembly
CCCUUUCUGCAGCAUAAUGUAUACUCAGACCAACAUCCGUGAGUUAGGUAUAGGCAACAAGUAGCACUACAGUUGCAAUGUGUAAGUGAUCAACUAACAGAAAUUAGGUUGGCAUAGUGCAUCUAUUUCCCAACAUCUCACACGUACCUUAGUAAAUAUUUCAAUUUAUAGCAUGCAUUUACAUAUUGCAAGAACAAUAGUUCUAGUACCAUGGAAUUCUUUACAAACCCUUAGAUUCCCA